This 683-nucleotide ribosomal RNA is filed under the name uncultured Bacilli bacterium. RNAcentral's name for it is "bacterial SSU rRNA". It matches the Rfam family "Bacterial small subunit ribosomal RNA", at positions 50 to 705 of the family's 1533-position model. Lineage: Bacteria; Bacillati; Bacillota; Bacilli. The record is from RNAcentral.
AAUACAUGCAAGUCGAACGCUUUUCUUUCACCGGAGCUUGCUCCACCGAAAGAAAAGGAGUGGCGAACGGGUGAGUAACACGUGGGUAACCUGCCCAUCAGAAGGGGAUAACACUUGGAAACAGGUGCUAAUACCGUAUAACAAUCGAAACCGCAUGGUUUCGGUUUGAAAGGCGCUUUUGCGUCACUGAUGGAUGGACCCGCGGUGCAUUAGCUAGUUGGUGAGGUAACGGCUCACCAAGGCAACGAUGCAUAGCCGACCUGAGAGGGUGAUCGGCCACAUUGGGACUGAGACACGGCCCAAACUCCUACGGGAGGCAGCAGUAGGGAAUCUUCGGCAAUGGACGCAAGUCUGACCGAGCAACGCCGCGUGAGUGAAGAAGGUUUUCGGAUCGUAAAACUCUGUUGUUAGAGAAGAACAAGGAUGAGAGUAAAAUGUUCAUCCCUUGACGGUAUCUAACCAGAAAGCCACGGCUAACUACGUGCCAGCAGCCGCGGUAAUACGUAGGUGGCAAGCGUUGUCCGGAUUUAUUGGGCGUAAAGCGAGCGCAGGCGGUUUCUUAAGUCUGAUGUGAAAGCCCCCGGCUCAACCGGGGGAGGGUCAUUGGAAACUGGGAAACUUGAGUGCAGAAGAGGAGAGUGGAAUUCCAUGUGUAGCGGUGAAAUGCGUAGAUAUAUGGAGGA